This 578-nucleotide ribosomal RNA is filed under the name Naganishia diffluens. Its description in RNAcentral is "partial large subunit ribosomal RNA". It matches the Rfam family "Eukaryotic large subunit ribosomal RNA", at positions 79 to 661 of the family's 3401-position model. Lineage: Eukaryota; Fungi; Basidiomycota; Tremellomycetes; Filobasidiales; Filobasidiaceae. The record is from RNAcentral.
CCUAGUAACGGCGAGUGAAGCGGGAAGAGCUCAAAUUUGAAAUCUAGUAGCCUUCGGCUGCUCGAGUUGUAAUCUAGAGAAGUGUUUUCCGUGCCGGCCCAUGUACAAGUCCCUUGGAACAGGGCGUCAUAGAGGGUGAGAAUCCCGUCCUUGACAUGGACCCCCGGUGCUCUGUGAUACACUUUCAACGAGUCGAGUUGUUUGGGAAUGCAGCUCAAAAUGGGUGGUGAAUUCCAUCUAAAGCUAAAUAUUGGCGAGAGACCGAUAGCGAACAAGUACCGUGAGGGAAAGAUGAAAAGCACUUUGGAAAGAGAGUUAAACAGUACGUGAAAUUGUUGAAAGGGAAACGAUUGAAGUCAGUCAUGCUCUUUGGUAUUUAUAUCAUUGAGUGGGGUCAACAUCAGUUUUGAGCGAUGGAUAAAGGCACUAGGAAGGUAGCACUCUCGGGUGAACUUAUAGCCUAGCGUCAUAUACAUUGUUUGGGACUGAGGAACGCAGCAUGCCUUUAUGGCCGGGAUUCGUCCACGUACAUGCUUAGGAUGUUGACAUAAUGGCUUUAAACGACCCGUCUUGAAACA